RNAcentral lists this ribosomal RNA (216 nucleotides) under Glomeromycotina sp. RNAcentral describes it as "partial small subunit ribosomal RNA". The stretch from base 40 to 216 matches the Rfam family "Eukaryotic small subunit ribosomal RNA", at positions 686 to 864 of the family's 1831-position model. Lineage: Eukaryota; Fungi; Glomeromycota. The record is from RNAcentral.
GGGUCAUUAGGUUGGUCGUGCCACCGGUACGUACUGGUCUCACUGAUUCCUCCUUCCUGAAGAACCGUAAUGCCAUUAAUUUGGUGUUGCGGGGAAACAGGACUGUUACUUUGAAAAAAUUAUAGCGUUUAAAGCAAGCUAACGCUUGAAUACAUUAGCAUGGAAUAAUGAAAUAGGACGAUUGAUCCUAUUUUGUUGGUUUCUAGGAUUGACGUA